AGUUAUCUUCUGUGGGAUAUAUGAUAAAGAUUAUGUUUUAUGUUCUAGUGAGAUUUUUGUCCAUGGAGAUUUGAAAUGGGAUAUUUUCCAAGUAAUGAUAUCAAGAUCAACAACACCAGACCUGAUAAAAAUAGGCAUGAAGCUCCAGGAAUUUUUCACACAACAGUUUGACACCAGCAAACGAGCUCUGUCUACUUGGGGACCAGUUCCUUAUCUUCCACCAAAGACAGUGACUAACAACCUAGAGAAAAGUUCACAAGAACAAUGUAAGAAUUAGAAUUAAUUUUUUGUAUAUGCU
RNAcentral lists this long non-coding RNA (298 nucleotides) under Marmota monax (woodchuck). The record is from RNAcentral. Lineage: Eukaryota; Metazoa; Chordata; Mammalia; Rodentia; Sciuridae.